GGGUUGUGAGGUUAAGCGACUAAGCGUACACGGUGGAUGCCCUGGCAGUCAGAGGCGAUGAAGGACGUGCUAAUCUGCGAUAAGCGCCGGUAAGGUGAUAUGAACCGUUAUAACCGGCGAUUUCCGAAUGGGGAAACCCAGUGUGACUCGUCACACUAUCAUUAACUGAAUCCAUAGGUUAAUGAGGCGAACCGGGGGAACUGAAACAUCUAAGUACCCCGAGGAAAAGAAAUCAACCGAGAUUCCCCCAGUAGCGGCGAGCGAACGGGGAGGAGCCCAGAGCCUGAAUCAGCAUGUGUGUUAGUGGAAGCGUCUGGAAAGGCGCGCGAUACAGGGUGACAGCCCCGUACACAAAAGCGCAUGUGCUGUGAGCUCGAUGAGUAGGGCGGGACACGUGGUAUCCUGUCUGAAUAUGGGGGGACCAUCCUCCAAGGCUAAAUACUCCUGACUGACCGAUAGUGAACCAGUACCGUGAGGGAAAGGCGAAAAGAACCCCGGCGAGGGGAGUGAAAAAGAACCUGAAACCGUGUACGUACAAGCAGUGGGAGCACAGGUUUACCUGUGUGACUGCGUACCUUUUGUAUAAUGGGUCAGCGACUUAUAUUCUGUAGCAAGGUUAACCGCAUAGGGGAGCCGCAGGGAAACCGAGUCUUAACCGGGCGUUAAGUUGCAGGGUAUAGACCCGAAACCCGGUGAUCUAGCCAUGGGCAGGUUGAAGGUUGGGUAACACUAACUGGAGGACCGAACCGACUAAUGUUGAAAAAUUAGCGGAUGACCUGUGGCUGGGGGUGAAAGGCCAAUCAAACCGGGAGAUAGCUGGUUCUCCCCGAAAGCUAUUUAGGUAGCGCCUCGUGAAUUCAUCUCCGGGGGUAGAGCACUGUUUCGGCUAGGGGGUCAUCCCGACUUACCAACCCGAUGCAAACUGCGAAUACCGGAGAAUGUUAUCACGGGAGACACACGGCGGGUGCUAACGUCCGUCGUGAAGAGGGAAACAACCCAGACCGCCAGCUAAGGUCCCAAAGUCAUGGUUAAGUGGGAAACGAUGUGGGAAGGCCCAGACAGCCAGGAUGUUGGCUUAGAAGCAGCCAUCAUUUAAAGAAAGCGUAAUAGCUCACUGGUCGAGUCGGCCUGCGCGGAAGAUGUAACGGGGCUAAACCAUGCACCGAAGCUGCGGCAGCGAACGUAUCACCCAAGACAACUUUGCGGAGUUGACGAUUGACGGAGCGAAGCGACGUCAAAGCGUUCAUUAAAGUCGAGUUGGCUUAGGGAUACGUUCGUUGGGUAGGGGAGCGUUCUGUAAGCCUGUGAAGGUGUGCUGUGAGGCAUGCUGGAGGUAUCAGAAGUGCGAAUGCUGACAUAAGUAACGAUAAAGCGGGUGAAAAGCCCGCUCGCCGGAAGACCAAGGGUUCCUGUCCAACGUUAAUCGGGGCAGGGUGAGUCGACCCCUAAGGCGAGGCCGAAAGGCGUAGUCGAUGGGAAACGGGUUAAUAUUCCCGUACUUGGUGUUACUGCGAAGGGGGGACGGAGAAGGCUAUGUUGGCCGGGCGACGGUUGUCCCGGUUUAAGCGUGUAGGUGUGUGUUCCAGGUAAAUCCGGUUCACUUUAACACUGAGGCGUGACGACGAGGCACUACGGUGCUGAAGCAACAAAUGCCCUGCUUCCAGGAAAAGCCUCUAAGCAUCAGGUAACAUCAAAUCGUACCCCAAACCGACACAGGUGGUCAGGUAGAGAAUACCAAGGCGCUUGAGAGAACUCGGGUGAAGGAACUAGGCAAAAUGGUGCCGUAACUUCGGGAGAAGGCACGCUGACAUGUAGGUGAAGUGAUUUACUCAUGGAGCUGAAGUCAGUCGAAGAUACCAGCUGGCUGCAACUGUUUAUUAAAAACACAGCACUGUGCAAACACGAAAGUGGACGUAUACGGUGUGACGCCUGCCCGGUGCCGGAAGGUUAAUUGAUGGGGUCAGCGCAAGCGAAGCUCCUGAUCGAAGCCCCGGUAAACGGCGGCCGUAACUAUAACGGUCCUAAGGUAGCGAAAUUCCUUGUCGGGUAAGUUCCGACCUGCACGAAUGGCGUAAUGAUGGCCAGGCUGUCUCCACCCGAGACUCAGUGAAAUUGAACUCGCUGUGAAGAUGCAGUGUACCCGCGGCAAGACGGAAAGACCCCGUGAACCUUUACUAUAGCUUGACACUGAACAUUGAGCCUUGAUGUGUAGGAUAGGUGGGAGGCUUUGAAGUGUGGACGCCAGUCUGCAUGGAGCCGACCUUGAAAUACCACCCUUUAAUGUUUGAUGUUCUAACGUGGACCCGUAAUCCGGGUUGCGGACAGUGUCUGGUGGGUAGUUUGACUGGGGCGGUCUCCUCCUAAAGAGUAACGGAGGAGCACGAAGGUUGGCUAAUCCUGGUCGGACAUCAGGAGGUUAGUGCAAUGGCAUAAGCCAGCUUGACUGCGAGCGUGACGGCGCGAGCAGGUGCGAAAGCAGGUCAUAGUGAUCCGGUGGUUCUGAAUGGAAGGGCCAUCGCUCAACGGAUAAAAGGUACUCCGGGGAUAACAGGCUGAUACCGCCCAAGAGUUCAUAUCGACGGCGGUGUUUGGCACCUCGAUGUCGGCUCAUCACAUCCUGGGGCUGAAGUAGGUCCCAAGGGUAUGGCUGUUCGCCAUUUAAAGUGGUACGCGAGCUGGGUUUAGAACGUCGUGAGACAGUUCGGUCCCUAUCUGCCGUGGGCGCUGGAGAACUGAGGGGGGCUGCUCCUAGUACGAGAGGACCGGAGUGGACGCAUCACUGGUGUUCGGGUUGUCAUGCCAAUGGCACUGCCCGGUAGCUAAAUGCGGAAGAGAUAAGUGCUGAAAGCAUCUAAGCACGAAACUUGCCCCGAGAUGAGUUCUCCCUGAGACUUUAGGUCUCCUGAAGGAACGUUGAAGACGACGACGUUGAUAGGCCGGGUGUGUAAGCGCAGCGAUGCGUUGAGCUAACCGGUACUAAUGAACCGUGAGGCUUAACCUUACAACGCCGAAG
Molecule: ribosomal RNA, 3013 nt
Filed under: Salmonella enterica subsp. enterica serovar Indiana
Lineage: Bacteria; Pseudomonadati; Pseudomonadota; Gammaproteobacteria; Enterobacterales; Enterobacteriaceae
Description: 23S ribosomal RNA
Rfam family: Bacterial large subunit ribosomal RNA
Source: RNAcentral